This 497-nucleotide ribosomal RNA is filed under the name uncultured bacterium. RNAcentral's name for it is "partial 16S ribosomal RNA". It matches the Rfam family "Bacterial small subunit ribosomal RNA", at positions 28 to 507 of the family's 1533-position model. The record is from RNAcentral.
GAUGAACGCUGGCGGCGUGCCUAAUACAUGCAAGUCGAGCGAACAGACGAGGAGCUUGCUCCUCUGACGUUAGCGGCGGACGGGUGAGUAACACGUGGAUAACCUACCUAUAAGACUGGGAUAACUUCGGGAAACCGGAGCUAAUACCGGAUAAUAUAUUGAACCGCAUGGUUCAAUAGUGAAAGACGGUUUUGCUGUCACUUAUAGAUGGAUCCGCGCCGCAUUAGCUAGUUGGGAAGGUAACGGCUUACCAAAGCAACGAUGCGUAGCCGACCUGAGAGGGUGAUCGGCCACACUGGAACUGAGACACGGUCCAGACUCCUACGGGAGGCAGCAGUAGGGAAUCUUCCGCAAUGGGCGAAAGCCUGACGGAGCAACGCCGCGUGAGUGAUGAAGGUCUUCGGAUCGUAAAACUCUGUUAUUAGGGAAGAACAAAUGUGUAAGUAACUAUGCACGUCUUGACGGUACCUAAUCAGAAAGCCACGGCUAACUACGUG